This 4924-nucleotide long non-coding RNA is filed under the name Olea europaea subsp. europaea. Lineage: Eukaryota; Viridiplantae; Streptophyta; Magnoliopsida; Lamiales; Oleaceae. The record is from RNAcentral.
CCUGAAAUAACGGUAUAAUUACUCAAAUUAAAAUCAGACAAUUAAAUUAAAACAAUUCUACCUCUCAACUUCUCAAUUUACUCUUGUAUCUCCAAUUUCCCAACUUUUCUCCUUUCUAAUGAUUCAUCAUUUAAUCACCAUUUCAUUUUCAAUUCCAUUAAAUCACUUGUACUUCCUUAAAAUCAAUACCUUAUUCAUAUACAAUCCCUAUACACAAUUUAUUCCAAUACAUAAACUUCAACACUUGUCAUAUAACUUCAUUAAAACCUUUAAAAAUCCGAAAAUAAGAGUUUUGACAAAAACAGCACUAUAAUCCCAUAAUAUUGAAAUCUGGCACCAAUUUCUUUAUUUAAAUCUGGCAGCAAACCCUUUGACAGAAUUAGCACUAUUUUGGGCAGAUUUUCAAAAAUAACACCUAUGUAGGAUUUUGUCUAAAAAUUGCUUAUAAUAAUUACUUAAAAAUGGAGAAAUCAACCCUAAUUCCUUAAUUUAAAUGUUUAACAUCAUAUAAUCACAAAAAAAUUCAAAUAAUAUGUUUCUAUCUUACAAACCCAUUUCAAAAUUCAACUUUCUUCAACUUCAAUACUCAAAUAACAUUUCUUUGUUAUAUUCCUAUUUAUAACCUCAAAUACAUAUCAAUAACAACUAAUUAUUGCUAAACUUCGAAAUAAAAUAAAUUUUCCAUAAACCCCAAAAUUUUCAAUUCAAUAUACUUAUACUUACCAUUGUAAAACAAAAGAGAAAUUGAAGAAGUUGAGAACCCUAACUUGAAACCUCCUCCUCUUUCUUUUCUUUCUUCUUUUCUCUUUUCUUCCCCCUCUCUCUCAGCCCUUCUCUAUUUUUUUCCCAGAAAUGAGAAAAUGGAUAAUAUAUAUGGAUAAAUAUUGAAUAAUUGCAAGUCAAAUCCCCCAAUCUUCAUACAAUAUCACAUUUAGUUAUUUCAUUUCCCAUAAUAGAAACUAAAUCCUUGGAUUCCUUUAUUAUAUCAUUUCUAGCCCUGAAUUACUUGAAAUUACAAUUUAAGUCCCAUGAAAAUUAUUUGUUAAAUUUAAGCCCUUAUUGACUUUGACUUUGACCAAUCAUAUUUCUUGACUUUGACUAAAAAUGAGGGGUGUGACAAUCUUAACCACUUCAAAAAUGAAAGCAAAAAUAAUGAAUGAUUUAUCCAACAACCUUUAACAAGGCUCAAAGUUCAUUCUUUCAUUAUUAUGCUUUGAAUAACUUUCCUAAGAACCAAUAUAUGUUAUUCUCAACUUUUCAUUUAAAAUUUUUCAUUUCUUCUUCUCUACAAAUAUUCAUUCCCUGCAAUACCCAUAUACAUAUUCCGCUUAUCUUCUUCUCUUCUAAUUUUCCAUUUUCACUUUUCAAUUAUGACCAUAUAUAACACACAAUUUACUACUACAGUCUUCAAUUCCUCAUUCUUUUCUUUCCAUGUUUCACGUUUCAUCGUCAAUUUAAUUCUCUCAAGCACCACAAUUAUAUGUAGAGAGAAUCCAAAGUUUUGCACAACUUCAAAUAUACUUACUCAUACUAAAGUAAGAAACUUAAGCUUACCAAUUUCUUAAAUAAAGAAAGAAAAACACAACACCUAGAUUUUAUCUCUAUUCCCCCUUUUUUUUUAUUGGGCAUCAUCUCGACCACCUAACUUGUUUACCAUAACUAGUAUUCCAUCUUCCUUGGUAGUACAAUUUGAUGAUAUGUCCUUACUGACUUUAUGUAAUGUAUCCACAAAAUCCUGUGCACUAAAAUGACAUGCUCAAAACUACCUCAUAUCUAAUAGAACAUUAUUUCACCUUUUAGGCUCUAAGUACAAUAACAUGUCAUACAUGAAAUUUUUAUCAAAUCUUUAUGAUCAAAAUGAGAUAUUCUACUCAUGAAAUUCAACAUAUAACUGACAUGAUAGUCUUCCCAAAGGAAUCACAAAUAACUCUUAAAACUAAGCCAUAUUUAUAAUUUAAUACAUCGUCCUCAAUAACUUAUAAACCAACAUAAUAAACCCAAUAAUGGCUAGAGGAAAAUCAAUUCACAUUUUAACCAGACUAUACUAUAACAUAAUUCUGUUUAUGUAAAACUGUCCUAUCCUUUGUUUAUCACUAUUCACAAUGCCUUCCAUAAUAAAAUAACCUUUCUAAGUGAAAAUCAUCGUACCAUAUAACAACAAAAUUUAGUCAUGUCUCGUCUCCCAAGUUGAACAAGAUGAUUCAUCGUACUUAAUUUGUUGACCCUUAUUGAAAAUCAUUAUACCCAUAUUUAACGAUCCAAUAUCGAUAUUACUGUAUACCCAACUCACAACCUUAAUGGAUAUCCAUACCUCUCCUUAUUAUUUUCUUUCCUUUCUCAUUCUUUCGAUAAAUACACAUACUUAUGCAGAACCCAAUGCCAUUUCUUUCCUCAUAUCCUUAAAUUUAUGCUACUAUUGCAUAUAACAUGUACACAGUGAUUUAACACUAAUUCAUACUCUUUUCUUUCUACUCUUGGUCACUUCCGGCCACACAUGUCCCCAAUUAUAUAUUCCUAUCAAAGUUUUAUUUCCUUGAAUGGAACUCUUAAUCCUUCCAUCUAUUAUUCUUUUUUCCCCCACCAUUUUCCUUAACUGCUGUACUACCAUACAUAAUUCCACUUCACCAUAAAUUUCAUACUCUUUAUGUAAUCAUUUUCUAUCUCCUUGACCCCAAGUUUCUAUACCAAUAAGUAACCCAUUGAGUAAAUUUUUUUUUUCCUCUAACCUCAUUUGUCACUACUUAUCUUUCUCAUUUUGUAACCUAUCAUUUAAUUGGUCAAGACGACUAAGCCCAUCCUAGACUCUUCUCAAAGUACACAUGAAUGUUAAGCUCCUCAAUGCAUAAUAUACAUAAUAAAACAUUGUAUUUUAUUUAUCAACAUUCUAUAUAAUAUUAUCAUUUUGUCCUCUACAAAAUUCUUAUCAUAUAGCAUAAGAGUACACCCACAUGCUUUCUAUUCUCAUCCCAAACAAGUGGCUACGAUUCACCACAAUUAUCAAUAGCGCUAAUGGUAAUUUAGCUUCCCCAAAAUAAUUAAAAUCCUUCACUGAUUAUCUCCAAUUACACAAAUUAUAUCAUUUACCUAUAUUUAUUGGGCAAGCUAUAACCAAUGAUUUCCCUAUAUAUUAUGAUCUAAUCAACUCUUAAUAGGUUACAUGUACCACAGUUCCAAAUCAGCAACUAAUAAUAAUUUCAAUAAUCAGAUCAUUGCAACUAUCAUACUUACAUACUAUCCAUUUCUGGAUCCGUAAAAAAAAUAUUUUUAUAUCAUUUUUGGUUUUAUACAUUCGAGCUUGAGAGCCUGUGAUUUCCGCUACCACGACGUGUGACCACACGCACUGAAUAUGCAUGAUAUGCCAAUGCAUGAACUAUGAAGACUUUCAUAACUUUGUAAACAAUGCUUUGAUACCACUCUAACACGCCUCGUCCCGAAUCACCCUAAUGGACUAGGAACGUGACGUGCGCCGAUGAUAGAUGCUGACUAGAUGUCAGAUCCACCACCAAGGCUGACUAUGACUUACUACAAAAUAGCGCCAAAAUCAAAUAUUUAUGAAAAACAUAAUGCAAUGGGCCCGAAACGAUUACUUUUUGUUUUACCAAAAUGAAUCGUGUCACUCAAUAUGUCGUGUGGCUCUAAUUCUAAAAACCACCAGGCUCCUCAAGCUAUCAGAGACCAAUACUACCUAUAAGAAAAAUCGUGGAAAAAUAUGAGUUUAUAGCUCAGUGAAUGGAAGAGUUUGAAAAUAAUUAUACUUUCUCAUUUAAACAUUUUUACCCAACAUCAAGUUCAUAUCGUUUAGUAAUUCACACAAUAGUAGCAAAAAAAUGAGACAUUCUCAUAACUCUGUAAAUAUCAUCUCAUAUCCACGAUAUAAUCAUCAGCUGAUAUCUAUACAUCAUCUCAUAACAUCACAUGUAAUCCACCAAAAAUGUACCAUUUAACUAAAAUCUAUAGUCCCCCUUCGAGCUAAGAACUUUUACUACGGGCCUUUGGCCCUAUCCAUGAACGAAAGCCGAUCUCAAGACCUCUGGUGAUCAAUUCUAAAACACGGUCAAUGCCUCUCUGUGAACUAUAUGUACAUGAUCAAAACCAAUGUCAGGUCAAGACCCCUCCAUGUAUGAUAGAACACAGUCAAGACCCCUCAGUAAACUAGAAGAAAUAUAUAAUCAUGGAUACUUUUCUGGUCGAUCUCAAAGUCACAUCUCAUAUUCCAAUUCACAAUGUAUCGUAUAUAAUCUUUGAAAUCCCACAUACAUUAUAAUAAAAGAUAUUUCCGUAAUAACCAUAUAAUUCGAACACAUAAUUGCACAUACUUUGAUAAUAUACCUAAUUCAUAAAUACUUUAAAAAUAUUUAUAUUUUUUCACUCACAGAUCCAUGGAUAGAAAUCUGGCUCAAUUAACGAGCUAUUCCUAGCUUUCAUGUCCCUACCUGAAAAAUGGUCUAAUUACACAAUUAAAAUUAGACAAUUAAAUUAAUACAAUUCUACAUCUCAACUUCUCAAUUUCUAUAUUUACUAUUACAUCUUCAAUUUCCCAAUUUUUCUCCUCUCUAAUGAUUUAUCAACUAAUCACCAUUUAUUUUCAAUUCCAUUAAAUCACUUGUACUUCCUUAAAAUCAAUACCUUAUUCAUAUACAACCCCUAUACACAAUUUAUUCCAAUACAUAAACUUCAACACUUGUCAUAUAACUUCAUUAAAACCUUUAAAAAUCCGAAAAUAAGAGCUUUGACAAAAACAGCACUAUAAUCCCAUAAUAUUGAAAGCUGGCACCAAUUUCGUUAUUUAAAUUUGGCAGCAAAACCUUUGACAGAAUUAGCACUAUUCUGGGCAGGUUUUUGGAAAUAACACCUAUGUAGGAUUUUGUCCAAAAAUUGCUUAUAAUAAUUACUUAAAAAUGGAGAAAUCAACCCUAAUUCCUUA